This 444-nucleotide ribosomal RNA is filed under the name Triticum aestivum (bread wheat). RNAcentral describes it as "partial small subunit ribosomal RNA". Lineage: Eukaryota; Viridiplantae; Streptophyta; Magnoliopsida; Poales; Poaceae. The record is from RNAcentral.
AUGAAAUUGAUGACUACAUCAAGUGCAGGUUUGUCAACAUAUUUGGAAAAGGCAGCACAAGUGGCCUUAGAAUGCAUAUGUGCAGAUUAUAAUAUUUCUGUCAAUGACCACAAUUACUAUGCCCUUGAAGUCACAAAAGAAAGAUUGUUUACAGCAAGAGAGAAGGCCCAGACAAAGCAAUGGCAAUUCAAUAUGGUGCGUCAGCAAGUAACUACACAGCAAAGCGAAUUUGCAAGACAAAAAAUGAUUCUGGCAAAAAUAUGCAACAGUUUCUUUGAUGUAUUACCACUUUGCAUGUAUCCCCAGCGCCCAGACAACAAUGAUCCUAUUAUCACAUACAUAGGCGCACAUCCUCCCGUCAGACGUGUACAAGAAUUUGCAAAAUCACUUUACCACUUUAUCACAGGCACCAAUCCUGUAGGAGGAUAUACUAGGAUGAUCUAA